RNAcentral lists this ribosomal RNA (497 nucleotides) under uncultured bacterium. Its description in RNAcentral is "partial 16S ribosomal RNA". It matches the Rfam family "Bacterial small subunit ribosomal RNA", at positions 28 to 507 of the family's 1533-position model. The record is from RNAcentral.
GAUGAACGCUGGCGGCGUGCCUAAUACAUGCAAGUCGAGCGAACAGAUAAGGAGCUUGCUCCUUUGACGUUAGCGGCGGACGGGUGAGUAACACGUGGAUAACCUACCUAUAAGACUGGGAUAACUUCGGGAAACCGGAGCUAAUACCGGAUAACAUAUUGAACCGCAUGGUUCAAUAGUGAAAGGCGGCUUUGCUGUCACUUAUAGAUGGAUCCGCGCCGUAUUAGCUAGUUGGUAAGGUAACGGCUUACCAAGGCGACGAUACGUAGCCGACCUGAGAGGGUGAUCGGCCACACUGGAACUGAGACACGGUCCAGACUCCUACGGGAGGCAGCAGUAGGGAAUCUUCCGCAAUGGGCGAAAGCCUGACGCAGCAACGCCGCGUGAGUGAUGAAGGUCUUCGGAUCGUAAAACUCUGUUAUCGGGGAAGAACAGAUGUGGAAGUAACUGUGCACAUCUUGACGGUACCUGAUCAGAAAGCCACGGCUAACUACGUG